This 450-nucleotide ribosomal RNA is filed under the name uncultured bacterium. RNAcentral's name for it is "bacterial SSU rRNA". It matches the Rfam family "Bacterial small subunit ribosomal RNA", at positions 29 to 526 of the family's 1533-position model. The record is from RNAcentral.
AGCGAACGCUGGCGGCAGGCCUAACACAUGCAAGUCGAGCGCCCCGCAAGGGGAGCGGCAGACGGGAGAGUAACACGUGGGAACGUACCCUUCAGUUCGGAACAACCCAGGGAAACUUGGGCUAAUACCGAAUACGUCCGUAAGGAGAAAGAUUUAUCGCUGAAGGAUCGGCCCGCGUCCGAUUAGCUAGUUGGUGGGGUAAUGGCUCACCAAGGCGACGAUCGGUAGCUGGUCUGAGAGGAUGAUCAGCCUCACUGGGACUGAGACACGGCCCAGACUCCUACGGGAGGCAGCAGUGGGGAAUAUUGGACAAUGGGCGCAAGCCUGAUCCAGCCAUGCCGCGUGGGUGAAGAAGGCCCUAGGGUUGUAAACCCCUUUCAGCGGGGAAGAUAAUGACGGUACCCGCAGAAGAAGCCCCGGCUAACUCCGUGCCAGCAGCCGCCGUAACAC